RNAcentral lists this ribosomal RNA (837 nucleotides) under Protoparmelia hypotremella. Its description in RNAcentral is "eukaryotic LSU rRNA". The stretch from base 486 to 639 matches the Rfam family "5.8S ribosomal RNA". The record is from RNAcentral. Lineage: Eukaryota; Fungi; Ascomycota; Lecanoromycetes; Lecanorales; Parmeliaceae.
GAGGAAGUAAAAGUCGUAACAAGGUUUCCGUAGGUGAAGGUUUGCUUACGGAAAUAGACCUGCAGCGACUCUAAAGAACUGCUCCAGUCGCCCCAGGCCAUUGGGGCUGGCAACGCUAUCAGUCUGCGCUGGGAGCCUCCCGUCUCGGGGGUCGACCGGCAGCUCCAGGGAACUCCUGAGUCCACAGAUCAAACGACGGCGGCCACUUUCGGUGGUUCAGAGAUGACCGGCCCCAGCCGCUUGACCGGCUGGUGAAACUAUCGCGGAACCUGCGGAAGGAUCAUUACCGAGAGGGGGCCUCGCGCUCCAGGGGCUUCGGUCCCGUACUCUUCACCCCUUGUCUACCCACCUUUGUUGCUUUGGCGGGCCUCGGGCUUUGUCCCGCGCCGGCCAGGGGCCUUACCGUCUCGGCUUGCGAGCGCCCGUCGAAGGCCUAUUUAAUUCUGUUUACCAGUGACGUCCGAGUGAAAACACAAAUAGUUAAAAACUUUCAACAACGGAUCUCUUGGUUCCAGCAUCGAUGAAGAACGCAGCGAAAUGCGAUAAGUAAUGUGAAUUGCAGAAUUCAGUGAAUCAUCGAAUCUUUGAACGCACAUUGCGCCCCUUGGUAUUCCGGGGGGCAUGCCUGUUCGAGCGUCAUUGCACUCCUCAAGCACAGCUUGGUAUUGAGCCUUCGCCCCCGCGGCGGGCCCGAAAAGCAUUGGCGGCUCGGCGUCGACUUUCAAGCGUAGUAAAUCUCCCGCUCUGGACGUCGCGCCGUGGCCUGCCAGACAACCCCCUAUAACUUCAAUGAUUGACCUCGGAUCAGGUAGGGAUACCCGCUGGACUAGCAUAUCA